ACUCCUACGGGAGGCUGCAGUAGGGAAUCUUCCGCAAUGGACGAAAGUCUGACGGAGCAACGCCGCGUGAGUGACGAAGGUUUUCGGAUCGUAAAACUCUGUUGUGAGGGAAGAACAAGUGCCACGUAACUACUGGCACCUUGACGGUACCUCACCAGAAAGCCACGGCUAACUACGUGCCAGCAGCCGCGGUAAUACGUAGGUGGCAAGCGUUGUCCGGAAUUAUUGGGCGUAAAGCGCGCGCAGGCGGUCCUUUAAGUCUGAUGUGAAAGCCCACGGCUCAACCGUGGAGGGUCAUUGGAAACUGGAGGACUUGAGUGCAGAAGAGGAAAGUGGAAUUCCAUGUGUAGCGGUGAAAUGCGUAGAGAUGUGGAGGAACACCAGUGGCGAAGGCGACUUUCUGGUCUGUAACUGACGCUGAGGCGCGAAAGCGUGGGGAGCAAACAGGAUUAGAUACCCUGGUAGUCCACGCCGUAAACGAUGAGUGCUAAGUGUUAGGGGGUUUCCGCCCCUUAGUGCUGCAGCUAACGCAUUAAGCACUCCGCCUGGGGAGUACGGCCGC
RNAcentral lists this ribosomal RNA (562 nucleotides) under uncultured bacterium. RNAcentral describes it as "bacterial SSU rRNA". It matches the Rfam family "Bacterial small subunit ribosomal RNA", at positions 335 to 889 of the family's 1533-position model. The record is from RNAcentral.